GGAGGAAUAGCUCAGUGGUAGAGCACGUGCUCAAUGCACAAGGUCCUGGGUUCAAUCUCCAGUACCUCCA
Molecule: transfer RNA, 70 nt
Filed under: Camelus bactrianus (Bactrian camel)
Lineage: Eukaryota; Metazoa; Chordata; Mammalia; Artiodactyla; Camelidae
Also listed under: 2 other names
Rfam family: tRNA
About the family: Transfer RNA (tRNA) molecules are approximately 80 nucleotides in length. Their secondary structure includes four short double-helical elements and three loops (D, anti-codon, and T loops).
Source: Rfam by way of RNAcentral